AUACGUAGGUGACAAGCGUUAUCCGGAUUUACUGGGCGUAAAGGGCGUGUAGGCGGUCUUGCAAGUCAGAAGUGAAAUUCCUGAGCUCAACUCGGGCGCUGCUUCUGAAACUGCAGGACUUGAGUGCUGGAGGGGAUAGCGGAAUUCCUAGUGGAGCGGUAAAAUGCGCAGAUAUUAGGAAGAACACCGGUGGCGAAGGCGGCUAUCUGGACAGUAACUGACGCUGAGGCGCGAAAGCGUGGGGAGCAAACAGGAUUAGAUCCCCUGGUAGUCCACGCCGUAAACGAUGAAUACUAGGUGUUGGGAGAUUAAACUCUCGGUGCCGUCGCAAACGCAUAAAGUAUUCCACCUGGGGAGUACGUUCGAAAGAAUAAAACUUAAAGGAAUUGACGGGG
RNAcentral lists this ribosomal RNA (395 nucleotides) under uncultured bacterium. RNAcentral's name for it is "partial 16S ribosomal RNA". It matches the Rfam family "Bacterial small subunit ribosomal RNA", at positions 523 to 918 of the family's 1533-position model. The record is from RNAcentral.